This 253-nucleotide ribosomal RNA is filed under the name uncultured bacterium. Its description in RNAcentral is "partial 16S ribosomal RNA". It matches the Rfam family "Bacterial small subunit ribosomal RNA", at positions 524 to 776 of the family's 1533-position model. The record is from RNAcentral.
UACGUAGGGGGCAAGCGUUGUCCGGAUUUAUUGGGCGUAAAGAGCGUGUAGGCGGCUAUACAGGUCCGCUGUGAAAACUCGAGGCUCAACCCCGAGACGUCGGUGGAAACCGUAUGGCUAGAGUCCGGAAGAGGAGAGUGGAAUUCCUGGUGUAGCGGUGAAAUGCGCAGAUAUCAGGAAGAACACCCGUGGCGAAGGCGGCUCUCUGGGACGGUACUGACGCUGAGACGCGAAAGCGUGGGGAGCAAACAGG